RNAcentral lists this ribosomal RNA (447 nucleotides) under uncultured bacterium. RNAcentral describes it as "bacterial SSU rRNA". It matches the Rfam family "Bacterial small subunit ribosomal RNA", at positions 29 to 524 of the family's 1533-position model. The record is from RNAcentral.
AACGAACGCUGGCGGCAUGCCUAACACAUGCAAGUCGAACGAGACCUUCGGGUCUAGUGGCGCACGGGUGCGUAACGCGUGGGAACCUGCCUUUAGGUUCGGAAUAACUCAGAGAAAUUUGAGCUAAUACCGGAUAAUGUCUUCGGACCAAAGAUUUAUCGCCUUUAGAUGGGCCCGCGUUGGAUUAGCUAGUUGGUGGGUAAGGCCUACCAAGGCGACGAUCCAUAGCUGGUCUGAGAGGAUGAUCAGCCACACUGGGACUGAGACACGGCCCAGACUCCUACGGAGGCAGCAGUGGGGAAUAUUGGACAAUGGGCGAAAGCCUGAUCCAGCAAUGCCGCGUGAGUGAUGAAGGCCUUAGGGUUGUAAAGCUCUUUUACCCGAGAUGAUAAUGACAGUAUCGGGAGAAUAAGCUCCGGCUAACUCCGUGCCAGCAGCCGCGGUAAU